Capsicum annuum is the source of this 633-nucleotide long non-coding RNA. RefSeq lists it as uncharacterized. NCBI's taxonomy places the organism in Eukaryota, Viridiplantae, Streptophyta, Magnoliopsida, Solanales, Solanaceae. The record is from RefSeq and is a predicted model, not a curated record. The transcript has 2 exons.
UAAAUAAAAGCCUAAUCUUCUUCUAACGUUCCUCCACCUCUUCCUUUUCUAUCUUUAUUGCUUGACAAAACCACAACACUUUUAUCAUCUCCAAAAAUCAAGAUGCAUACAUAGAAUGAAAAAGAAACUUAAAGAUGUGAAUUCGACGGAGCAUUAGGAUGAUACUCUAAUAUGGAGGGCUAAUAGUGAUGGGUUUUUUCCUGUCAUCUUUGUUAUAACUUGUUGCAGGAGUAGUUCAAGUGUAGGCUUGAUUACCAGGUGCUGCAAUCAUAGUAAAAGCUGCGACACAUGAUGAUGAUCUUAUUAGAUUAUAAAAUAACAUUUCAACGUCCACUUGGUCCCAAAAGGCACUUAUAUGUAAUCAAAGCUACCAAGUUCUCACCAUUGCUGGCAUUAUGUUUCUUAGGUUUAUAUUUCUUUAAUUAAGCUUGAGUUGAAUACUUUAGUGGAAACUAUAUUUAGUUUUUCUUUUGCACUUGGAAAUAAUGUUUCUGAUGAACUAUUGAAGGCAUUAUGAUGUGAUUCUGGACAUCCUCAAACCUGUCACUAGAAAAAAUAAGCUACUUGUAAAGUUACCAUGUCAAAUGUCAAUUAUGUUACAUAUUUUUAUGGAAUAUUUUUUUUUUCAUUUCA